GUGCUCGCAUCAGCAGCACAUAUACUAAAACUGGAAUGACACAGAGAAGAUUAGCAUGGCCCCUGUGCAAGGAUGACUCGCAAAUCAGUGAAGGGUUCCCUAUUUUU
This is a small nuclear RNA of Callithrix jacchus (white-tufted-ear marmoset), 107 nucleotides long. Lineage: Eukaryota; Metazoa; Chordata; Mammalia; Primates; Cebidae. The record is from Ensembl.